RNAcentral lists this transfer RNA (72 nucleotides) under Bos taurus (domestic cattle). It matches the Rfam family "tRNA". From Rfam's summary of the family: Transfer RNA (tRNA) molecules are approximately 80 nucleotides in length. The record is from Rfam by way of RNAcentral. Lineage: Eukaryota; Metazoa; Chordata; Mammalia; Artiodactyla; Bovidae. RNAcentral also lists the same sequence under 5 other names.
UCCCUUGUGGCUCAGCUGGUAAAGAAUCUACCUGCAAUGUGGGAGACCUGGGUUCUAUCCCUGGCUUGGGAA